Ooceraea biroi (clonal raider ant) is the source of this 1923-nucleotide long non-coding RNA. RefSeq lists it as uncharacterized. The record is from RefSeq and is a predicted model, not a curated record. NCBI's taxonomy places the organism in Eukaryota, Metazoa, Arthropoda, Insecta, Hymenoptera, Formicidae.
AGUAAUUGAGUACUAGAGUGCUCGAUAUUUUGUAAUAUUAUGCUUUACGAUAGCAGAAUAGAGAUUCUUUUCUGUAGCUGAAGCUGAACUUCCUGCAUGAUAUUUCAAUUCUAAAUCUCGUUUUCUUCCUUUCAGUGCUCGAUCAUGUAUUUAUGUCGGUUUGCGUAGGAAGUAUGACAUGUAGCCUAGUUCCAAGAAAGGAGAUCUCGAGUUUCUUUGUUUUCGUUGUCCCUUCCGUGCUACAUCCUUUCCGCCUGUCCCUUUUACCUGUAAACUUGCACAUAUAUCCGUUUUUUCUCUAAACGCAGAAAGUACGUACACAAGAGAAUACUCGGACGAACGAAUUAUCUUGCAUUACCGGUUUUGCAAAAAAACGUCUAACGUCCACAUACGUAUGUGCACUAUUUCCUUUCGAAUGUAGUUUUGCUGAACGUGUUCGUACGAGAAAAAGGUCUAGCGCCUAGCGCAGAUACGAAUCGACAAACGCGAGGAUAAUGCACGACAAGGUUAUGACAGUAUAGCACGUAUUUGAUCAUCAGCGUGAAGUUGAUCAUUAGGAAAUAUAAGUUGGUAGCGAGAUUGUUAAAUCUGUGAAGAGCAGCUGAAGUUGGACCGAAUCCUUAAUGAUCAAUAUUUUCAUCUUCCAUCGCUGGAGGAGGUCUAGUUCGCAGAAUAUACUGGAGUAAAGUACGCAGCGUUGACGGAGCCCCUUGCAAACAGGCUAUCAUCGUCAUGCGAAAGAUGCCGUCUGAGAUCUUCCUGGGGAAUGGUGGUACUCUUCACCGUUCUCUGAUGUUCAUACUAAAGCUCGGCUGGCAGUCACGAUUCCGCCUGCCAGUGCUCCUGGUCAUCGUCUUUGUCGCCAUGGAUUACAGACUACAAUUAGAAAUUGAAUUUGGGAACGACGUAGACCAACAUAAUCAUUUAUGAUCAAAACGGGACGAGGUGAUGUAAACUCAUGAUGUAAGAUUUAUAUAUUUAGCAGACGCAGGGAAAUGUCUGGCGGAAACGGGAAAAGAUAUAAGGUCUUGGAAGAUUUCUAUAUUCAGCAGAUGCGGUGAGAUAUUUAAUAGAAAGAUUGAAUAUGAGCUCUUGUAAGACUUAUAUAUUUAACAGAAACGUAGAAGAUUGAAUGUACUCUCUUCUUAUUUAACGUAAUAAAUUAACAAAUAUAAAGAUAUACAAAGAUAUCUAGCAGAGAAAACAUGAGCAUGGACUGUAUAUAUCUAAUUAUAUUUAGACUACAUAUACGUGUUAAUUGUUGACGGACAUUAGUAUAAUUGUGUCAUACAUUUUACAAAAUCCUAUAUAUAUAUAUAUGAUACUGAAUAUAAUAUAUCGAUAAUAUACGAAUUAUUUAUAAAUAUAACAGAAUUUUUGUCGAGUCAAUUAUUAAUAUCUAUAUUUAUUAGACUGUCAUAAUUAGAGGAACAUGUGGCAGUUCCAUCUGAAUAUUAUUUAAGAAUUUUAUCUUAUAAUAUUUAUAUCAUAAACAUGUUGUGCACAUUGUUCUAUAAAUUCAUAAUUUUAUUAAAAUAGAAAUGUUUAUAAGAAGAAAGCUGUCAAGAAAUAUGAGAUAGCAAAGGACUAUGAAAUAUACCUUUAAAAUAAAUUAGAAAUAUUCGCAAUUCUCUAGGAAAAUGAAUAUAAUAAAUAGUAUGACUGAAAUAUAAAUUAUGAAAAUAGGAGUUAAGAAAGAAAUUUUUGACUGUUUAUGUAUAGUUAUGUUUAUGUAUAGAUAAUAUUUGUUUGUAAACUUUACGAAUAUUAAUUGACUAGUAAAAUGCGAAAUUAAUUUCACAGAAAUUUUAAUGCAUUCACGUAUUGUGUGAAAACUGCAUGCAAGAUAAAUCUUGAUUAAGAUGUAAUUUUUCGCGUACGGAUAUGAGAAUUCUUUGUAAUAAAUUAAAUAUUUAACAAAUG